Long non-coding RNA from Selaginella moellendorffii, 346 nucleotides. RefSeq lists it as uncharacterized. The transcript is spliced from 2 exons. NCBI's taxonomy places the organism in Eukaryota, Viridiplantae, Streptophyta, Lycopodiopsida, Selaginellales, Selaginellaceae. The record is from RefSeq and is a predicted model, not a curated record.
UUCUAUUGUCCUGAGCAGCCUCCUUGCUGCUGCGUUAUUCUUGCGGAGUGUUCCGGGGAGCGGUAUGGCAAAAAGUUCCAUUGUUUCUUUUCCAGCACCAAUCUUGUGGCAAGCCCUCGUGACUGCAGUAGGCUGCUGUCUUGCUUGCAGUCGAGCUUACUCUGAUCGCCACCGAGCCUUUCCUUGCACCUACUGAGUCGGAAGGGAACGCAGUGGAGCUCAGGACCUACAUCGACUCCGUCAAAAAAAGGAAGCUGGGAAGCACUCUUUAUUGGAGCUUGAAGACAAUAGUUUUCAAGCGAUUACAUUGACUUUAUAAAUGAAGCUUAACUAAAAUUUAGAGCAA